This 645-nucleotide long non-coding RNA is filed under the name Citrus x clementina. RNAcentral describes it as "Citrus clementina (C. clementina) long non-coding RNA (CCLE_LNC006429)". Lineage: Eukaryota; Viridiplantae; Streptophyta; Magnoliopsida; Sapindales; Rutaceae. The record is from RNAcentral.
AAAAAGCGGAUAUUCAUAUUAUUACAUAAUAAUUAGGUUACCUGUUCUUCCAUUGACAAAUAUUAAAACACUGGAUGAUGAUAUGAGAAUCCCCUGCACGUGAAGAAACCCCGAAAAAGUGUCUCGUGUAUUUUGUUUUGCAGACCAGACCAAAUUAACAGCUAAGCUUGAUGCAUUUUAUGUAAGAAGACGACAAUUAUUUAUUUUUAUUUACUGCUCUUAAUUUACUGAUUCCACAACAAUUUAAAGAGAGAUCCGAGAAUAAUUAGCUGCUUUUGCCCUUCAGCAGCGCCGCUAGCUAAUAAUAAUAUGCAGCCUCGAUUGAAUUCUAAUGAGUUUUCAAGAACAUUUCCCCCCUUUUUAUGCUUCGAUAUUAUAAAUUUUCAGGUGUUGCUAAGUUACACAACUUACAUCAAUCUAAAUUCAGUUUUUUUUUUUUUUUCAAAUAUGAAUCAAUUACCAGUUGUCAAAUAAUUCAAAAGGUUACGGAGACUAAUCUUAAGUCAGUUGUAAGUAACAAAAAUUGUAAUUUAAUUAACAAUUAUUGAUAAUUGAUCACCUUAUAAACGAUACAUCAUAUGUCACGUCAUUUAAAAUAUAAUUUGAGAUAAAAUUUUAAAAUACAUAUCAUUAGAUAUAAAAAUU